This 441-nucleotide ribosomal RNA is filed under the name uncultured bacterium. RNAcentral's name for it is "partial 16S ribosomal RNA". It matches the Rfam family "Bacterial small subunit ribosomal RNA", at positions 338 to 795 of the family's 1533-position model. The record is from RNAcentral.
CCUACGGGAGGCAGCAGUGGGGAAUAUUGCACAAUGGGGGAAACCCUGAUGCAGCGACGCCGCGUGAGUGAGGAAGUAUUUCGGUAUGUAAAGCUCUAUCAGCAGGGAAGAAAAUGACGGUACCUGACUAAGAAGCCCCGGCUAACUACGUGCCAGCAGCCGCGGUAAUACGUAGGGGGCAAGCGUUAUCCGGAUUUACUGGGUGUAAAGGGAGCGUAGACGGAUAAGCAAGUAUGAUGUGAAAAUCCGGGGACAAACCCCAGGAAUUGCAUUGGAAAAUGCAUAUCUAGAGUGUCGGAGAGGCAAGUGGAAGUCCUGGUGUAGCGGUGAAAUGCGUAGAGAUCAGGAGGAACACCAGUGGCGAAGGCGGCUUGCUGGACGAUGACUGACGUUGAGGCUCGAAAGCGUGGGGAGCAAACAGGAUUAGAUACCCGGGUAGUC